AUGGCAGCCCCUAAUGUUAGAGCUGAAAUCAAACCCGGUGAUGUUGAAUCUGACCCCUGUAAGAGAAUACCAAUUGAGGAGUUAGAUCCAGACAUUAGAGAUCUUGCUAGAAGGGAGUACAUUAGUAUGGGUCCUUGCCAACCAACUAAUCAUACAUAUGAAAAGAUAAAUGGUAGGAGCUUUCAUGACUAUUGGUUCAAUGAUCAUCGCGGCUGGUUGGAAUAUAGCAUUGAAAAAAAUCAGCCUUUUGCUUUUAUUGUUUUCUGUUUAAGCAACCAAGAGCUGAAAACUAUGAUAUUGAAGCAUUCACGAGAAAUGGAUUCAAAUCUUGGAAGGAUGGACCUAAAGUUUUUAAUCAGCAUGUUGGCAAGCAUGAUAGUGCUCAUAAUAAAUCUAGGCAACAUUAUGAGGAUUUCAAAAAUCAAAGACAAAAUCUGCCACAUGUCUUUGAUAGGGGUUCUGAGAAGCAAGAAGAAGAAUACAAAGCCCGUCUCUUGA
RNAcentral lists this ribosomal RNA (498 nucleotides) under Triticum aestivum (bread wheat). RNAcentral's name for it is "partial small subunit ribosomal RNA". The record is from RNAcentral. Lineage: Eukaryota; Viridiplantae; Streptophyta; Magnoliopsida; Poales; Poaceae.